CAUGACAGCGACUUGCCUCUCCAAGGCAUUUCAUGUAUGGCAAGAUGCAGUGAUUUGUGGCCCAAUCGACUUGCCGUACACUGCGGUUUGUAUCAGGAAAGAGCAUCUUGGUGAUUUUUGUGAUUGCAUCUAUAACUUCUGUCAUAACUUUCAGGAAUGAGCUGUGAAAGGACUUCCUGAAUCUGUCAGCUGGUGCUUCCUGUUGCCUGCAGCUUAUUCCUGUUCUAACUUCUCUAAUCCAUCCCUGGUUCCUCUAUUGGCCUCUUUGUGUCUGAAUGAACUGAACAAAACCAACUAACUCAUAGUGUCUACAAAUAAAGAAACAAACAGAUUAAUAAACUCAGAUUGUACCUUUUAAAGAUUCCCAAACAGUAAAUGUGAAUCUUUUAAAGGACUCAAAUUGUGAGCAGUGACUCUGCAGAGUCUCUACAGCUUCAGGCUUCUCUGUGAUCUGAUUGGAGGAGCUUGAACCAAUCACAUCGCUCUCAGUCAGAAAGGGGCGGAGCCUUUCAAAGAAACAAGAAGUUCCACCAACAUCUUUCCAGAAGCCCAGAGCAUCACAGAGACGGAGCAGCGCUGGAGCUCAGCAGGACAGCAGGAUGGAGGGAGUGAGUGAGGAUGAUCUCUGCUGGCUGCAGCUGGAUGACUUCAGGAUGCUGCUGAUUAAAACCAUCGACCCGUCCAGAAUCACUCCUUACCUCCGCCAGUGCCAGGUGAUCAGCGCUGAGGAUGAGGAGCAGCUCUUCAACGACCCCACCCUGGUCAUCCGCCGGAGGAAAGUCGGAGCCCUGCUGGACAUGCUGCAGCGGACCGGGAUGAAGGGCUACACGGCGUUCCUGGAGAGCCUGGAGCUGGACUACCCCCAGCUGUACAGCCGCAUCACGGGGAAGGAGCCCAACAAGACCUUCAGCAUCCUGAUCGACACGGCGGGAGAGUCGGGCCUGACCCAGUUCCUGAUGUCGGAGCUGAGCCGCCUGCAGAGGGUGCUGCAGGACGAGCGGAGGCGGCGCCAGCAGGCCUGCUCCGUGGCGCAGGAACAGGAGGCAUGGUCCCGGCAGCAGAAGCUGAAGGAGCGCGAGCUGAAGAAGCUGACUGAGCGCGUGCAGAAGCUGCGUGAGGAGCGCGAGCAGCUGACCGAGGAGCUGAAGAAGCUCCGCCUCCACAACUACAACCUGAUGGCCGACGUCACCAACCUGACGCAGGACAAGAGCAACGCCCUGCUGGCCAACAGGGACCUGCAGAUAGAGGUGGAGCGUCUGAAGCACACGGUGCUGCGGGCGGAGAGCGAGACGCGGCUGCUGAAACGGAGGACCAUGAGGCCGCUGCAGCAGAGCAGAAUCCUGACUCCGCCCUCUGACGCCUUUCUUCAACUCAACGACCAGGAGGAGCAGCAGGAGGCGCCGCCUCAGGGGAAGCAGCAGGAGGAGGAGGCGCAGGAGGAGAAGAAGCUGGACAGGAGGGAGGAGGUGCUGAAGGAGGGCCAGCGGCACGGCCGCGCGUCUCCACAGAUGAACCUCCUCACCACCGUGUUCAGACUGAGGAGGGAGCUGCACAAGGCCGAGGAGCAGAGGGCAAAGAGCGUGGAGGAGAAGGAGGAGCUGAGCCUCCGCUGCGCUCAGCUGAAAGGAGACGCCAAGAUGUACCGGCAGCAGAGCAAGCAGACGGUCCGGCAGCUGGAGGAGGUGAUCCGAGAGAGGGACAAGGUGAGGAGGAGGAGGGGGGAUGAAGAGCAGAGUGGUGAUGUCACUGACUGUGGGUGGUGUCCAGGCUCUGGUGGCGCAGGCGCAGCAGCAGGAGGAGGCGCGGCUCCACCUGCAGGAGAAGGACCGCUACAGGGAGCGCGUCCGGCAGCUGGCCGAGAAAACAGACAAGCUGGAGCUGCUGCUGCUGAGGUCACAGGGGGAGGAGCUGCAGCUGAGGACACGCCUCCGCAAGAUGACCUUCAACUCCCAGCAGGUGGGGAUGAUGAUGUAAUGAUGACGUAACGAUGAUGUAAUGAUGAUGUAACGAUGAUGUAAUGAUGAUGUAAUGAUGAGGUAAUGAUGCCACUUUCCUCAACAGUUUGAGAGGAACUUGAGCAGCGAGGAAGACGAGGCGAACGAGAGCGCCGCUAAAGGCAGCAGCGAGGAGGUUCCCAGCGGGACGUCGGGGGAGAACGAGG
This is an RNA transcript of Poecilia latipinna (sailfin molly), 2161 nucleotides long. It is a transcript of the gene named caspase recruitment domain family, member 9, with no coding region annotated. NCBI's taxonomy places the organism in Eukaryota, Metazoa, Chordata, Actinopteri, Cyprinodontiformes, Poeciliidae. The transcript has 11 exons. The record is from RefSeq and is a predicted model, not a curated record.